Molecule: ribosomal RNA, 429 nt
Filed under: bacterium
Lineage: Bacteria
Description: partial 16S ribosomal RNA
Rfam family: Bacterial small subunit ribosomal RNA
Source: RNAcentral
UGGGGAAUUUUGGACAAUGGGGGCAACCCUGAUCCAGCCAUGCCGCGUGCGGGAAGAAGGCCUUCGGGUUGUAAACCGCUUUUAGCCGGGAAGAAAAGGCACGGGCUAACACCCUGUGUUCUUGACGGUACCGGCGGAAUAAGCACCGGCUAACUACGUGCCAGCAGCCGCGGUAAUACGUAGGGUGCGAGCGUUAAUCGGAAUUACUGGGCGUAAAGCGUGCGCAGGCGGUUCGCUGUGUCCUGUGUGAAAGCCCCGGGCUUAACCUGGGAAUGGCAUGGGAAACUGGCGGGCUGGAGUGUGGCAGAGGGGGGUGGAAUUCCGCGUGUAGCAGUGAAAUGCGUAGAGAUGCGGAGGAACACCGAUGGCGAAGGCAGCCCCCUGGGCUAACACUGACGCUCAGGCACGAAAGCGUGGGGAGCAAACAGG